UGGGGAAUCUUGGACAAUGGGGGCAACCCUGAUCCAGCCAUGCCGCGUGAGUGAUGAAGGCCUUAGGGUCGUAAAGCUCUUUCGCCUGUGAAGAUAAUGACGGUAGCAGGUAAAGAAACCCCGGCUAACUCCGUGCCAGCAGCCGCGGUAAUACGGAGGGGGUUAGCGUUGUUCGGAAUUACUGGGCGUAAAGCGCACGUAGGCGGACCAGAAAGUUGGGGGUGAAAUCCCGGGGGCUCAACCCCGGAACUGCCUCCAAAACUAUUGGUCUAGAGUUCGAGAGAGGUGAGUGGAAUUCCAAGUGUAGAGGUGAAAUUCGUAGAUAUUUGGAGGAACACCAGUGGCGAAGGCGGCUCACUGGCUCGAUACUGACGCUGAGGUGCGAAAGUGUGGGGAGCAAACAGGAUUAGAUACCCUGGGUAGUCCACACCGUAAAACGAUGAAUGCCAGUCGUCGGAUAGCAUGCUAUUCGGUGACACACCUAAUC
RNAcentral lists this ribosomal RNA (487 nucleotides) under uncultured bacterium. Its description in RNAcentral is "bacterial SSU rRNA". It matches the Rfam family "Bacterial small subunit ribosomal RNA", at positions 355 to 857 of the family's 1533-position model. The record is from RNAcentral.